Molecule: ribosomal RNA, 1141 nt
Filed under: human gut metagenome
Description: bacterial LSU rRNA
Rfam family: Bacterial large subunit ribosomal RNA
Source: RNAcentral
AGGUUUUUGGAGGAAGGUUCGUCCGCUCCAAGUUAGUCGGGAGCUAAGGUGAGGCCGGAAGGCGUAGCCGAUGCACAGACGGUAGAGAUUCCGUCACCACCAAAAGAGUUAAGCACAGGGACACAUUUGAAGUCUCAGAGCCGGGUGUUGGUUCCGGUAGAGAUCGAGGGAAAUUAGUACCGAAGUCUGGGAUGGAGGAUGGCGAGAAAAGCUGUGUGUAUUUCUGAGGUGCCCGUACCGCAAACCGACACAGGUAGGUAGGAAGAAGAUUCUAAGGCCAACGGGAGAAGGGUUGUUAAGGAACUCGGCAAAUUGACCCCGUAACUUCGGGAGAAGGGGUGCUCCAGAGAUGGAGCCGCAGAGAAUCGGCCCAAGCAACUGUUUACCAAAAACACAGGUUUGUGCUAAAUCGAAAGAUGACGUAUACGAGCUGACGCCUGCCCGGUGCUGGAAGGUUAAGAGGAGAUGUGCAAGCAUUGAAUCGAAGCCCCAGUGAACGGCGGCCGUAACUAUAACGGUCCUAAGGUAGCGAAAUUCCUUGUCAGGUAAGUUCUGACCCGCAUGAAAGGCGUAAUGAUUUGGGCACUGUCUCAACAGCCCGCCCGGCGAAAUUGUAGUACCGGUGAAGAUGCCGGUUACCCGCGACAAGACGGAAAGACCCCAUGGAGCUUUACUGUAGCCUAAUAUUGGGUUUCGAUGUUGCAUGCACAGGAUAGAUGGGACACUGGGAAACAAUCGCUUUGGCGGUUGCGGAGUGGCCGUUGGGAUACCAUCCUUGCGAUAUUGGAAUUCUAACCUGCGGCUCUGAAUCGAGUCGGGGGACAUUGUUAGGUGGGCAGUUUGACUGGGGCGGUCGCCUCCUAAAAAGUAACGGAGGCGUUCAAAGGUUCGCUCAGCUUGAACGGAAAUCAAGCAAGAGAGUGCAAACGCAGAAGCGAGCCUAACUGCGAGACUGACGGGUCGAGCAGUAACGAAAGUUGGAGUUAGUGAUCCGGUGGUAUGUGAGUGGAAAUGCCAUCGCUCAACGGAUAAAAGUUACCCUGGGGAUAACAGGCUGAUCUCCCCCAAGAGUCCACAUCGACGGGGAGGUUUGGCACCUCGAUGUCGGCUCAUCGCAUCCUGGGGCUGAAGUAGGUCCCAA